CGCGUAGGCGGCUUUGCAAGUCAGAUGUGAAAGCCCCGGGCUUAACUCGGGAAUUGCAUCUGAAACUGCUUUGCUUGAGUCCUGGAGGGGGUAGUGGAAUUCCCAGUGUAGCGGUGAAAUGCGUAGAUAUUGGGAGGAACACCUGCGGCGAAGGCGGCUACCUGGACAGUGACUGACGCUGAUGCGCGAAAGCUAGGGGAGCGAACGGGAUUAGAUACCCCGGUAGUCCUAGCCGUAAACGAUGGGCACUUGGUGUUGGGGGUAUUGAGUCCCCCGGUGCCGGAGUUAACACGUUAAGUGCCCCGCCUGGGGAGUACGGUCGCAAGACUGAA
RNAcentral lists this ribosomal RNA (332 nucleotides) under uncultured bacterium. Its description in RNAcentral is "bacterial SSU rRNA". It matches the Rfam family "Bacterial small subunit ribosomal RNA", at positions 568 to 898 of the family's 1533-position model. The record is from RNAcentral.